CAUAAUGUGACAGAUAAAUGUGGUAGGCUUAAAACUUAUUAAUAGAAGUUUUUCUCGUUGUGU
RNAcentral lists this transfer RNA (63 nucleotides) under Perumytilus purpuratus. Its description in RNAcentral is "tRNA-Leu". The record is from RNAcentral. Lineage: Eukaryota; Metazoa; Mollusca; Bivalvia; Mytilida; Mytilidae.